UUCGUCAAACGAAACAUCACUGUCUGUGAUCGGACGCCGAAUUUCUCCAACUCUCAAAAACUUAUAUCAUAUGAUAUUAUAAGUUGAGAAUCAUUUAAGACUGUGUGAACUUUCAGGCUGAAGCUAUUCAUAUUCUUUAUUUUUAAAGAACGCAUGCAUUUAUCCUUUAUGAUAAACCUUCCUUUCUUCUGAGCGAUGAGCUGUAACUUGGAAGUUGUUUACACACGUUGACAACAGACGACAUCGGAACUGUUACCGUGACCUAGAUAUACAGGCGAUAUAUCCUAAAUUUUUAAACGGGAACCAGUUUUACAUCAGUAAAAUGUUGUUAUCUCCCUUAGUAUCGGAAGUCACCUUAAA
This 360-nucleotide long non-coding RNA is filed under the name Mytilus galloprovincialis (Mediterranean mussel). Lineage: Eukaryota; Metazoa; Mollusca; Bivalvia; Mytilida; Mytilidae. The record is from RNAcentral.